GGGUUGUGAGGUUAAGCGACUAAGCGUACACGGUGGAUGCCCUGGCAGUCAGAGGCGAUGAAGGACGUGCUAAUCUGCGAUAAGCGUCGGUAAGGUGAUAUGAACCGUUAUAACCGGCGAUUUCCGAAUGGGGAAACCCAGUGUGNNNNNNNNNNNUGUGAGCUCGAUGAGUAGGGCGGGACACGUGGUAUCCUGUCUGAAUAUGGGGGGACCAUCCUCCAAGGCUAAAUACUCCUGACUGACCGAUAGUGAACCAGUACCGUGAGGGAAAGGCGAAAAGAACCCCGGCGAGGGGAGUGAAAAAGAACCUGAAACCGUGUACGUACAAGCAGUGGGAGCACGCUUAGGCGUGUGACUGCGUACCUUUUGUAUAAUGGGUCAGCGACUUAUAUUCUGUAGCAAGGUUAACCGAAUAGGGGAGCCGAAGGGAAACCGAGUCUUAACUGGGCGUUAAGUUGCAGGGUAUAGACCCGAAACCCGGUGAUCUAGCCAUGGGCAGGUUGAAGGUUGGGUAACACUAACUGGAGGACCGAACCGACUAAUGUUGAAAAAUUAGCGGAUGACUUGUGGCUGGGGGUGAAAGGCCAAUCAAACCGGGAGAUAGCUGGUUCUCCCCGAAAGCUAUUUAGGUAGCGCCUCGUGAAUUCAUCUCCGGGGGUAGAGCACUGUUUCGGCAAGGGGGUCAUCCCGACUUACCAACCCGAUGCAAACUGCGAAUACCGGAGAAUGUUAUCACGGGAGACACACGGCGGGUGCUAACGUCCGUCGUGAAGAGGGAAACAACCCAGACCGCCAGCUAAGGUCCCAAAGUCAUGGUUAAGUGGGAAACGAUGUGGGAAGGCCCAGACAGCCAGGAUGUUGGCUUAGAAGCAGCCAUCAUUUAAAGAAAGCGUAAUAGCUCACUGGUCGAGUCGGCCUGCGCGGAAGAUGUAACGGGGCUAAACCAUGCACCGAAGCUGCGGCAGCGACGCUUAUGCGUUGUUGGGUAGGGGAGCGUUCUGUAAGCCUGUGAAGGUGUACUGUGAGGUAUGCUGGAGGUAUCAGAAGUGCGAAUGCUGACAUAAGUAACGAUAAAGCGGGUGAAAAGCCCGCUCGCCGGAAGACCAAGGGUUCCUGUCCAACGUUAAUCGGGGCAGGGUGAGUCGACCCCUAAGGCGAGGCCGAAAGGCGUAGUCGAUGGGAAACAGGUUAAUAUUCCUGUACUUGGUGUUACUGCGAAGGGGGGACGGAGAAGGCUAUGUUGGCCGGGCGACGGUUGUCCCGGUUUAAGCGUGUAGGCUGGUUUUCCAGGCAAAUCCGGAAAAUCAAGGCUGAGGCGUGAUGACGAGGCACUACGGUGCUGAAGCAACAAAUGCCCUGCUUCCAGGAAAAGCCUCUAAGCAUCAGGUAACAUCAAAUCGUACCCCAAACCGACACAGGUGGUCAGGUAGAGAAUACCAAGGCGCUUGAGAGAACUCGGGUGAAGGAACUAGGCAAAAUGGUGCCGUAACUUCGGGAGAAGGCACGCUGAUAUGUAGGUGAAGCGACUUGCUCGUGGAGCUGAAAUCAGUCGAAGAUACCAGCUGGCUGCAACUGUUUAUUAAAAACACAGCACUGUGCAAACACGAAAGUGGACGUAUACGGUGUGACGCCUGCCCGGUGCCGGAAGGUUAAUUGAUGGGGUCAGCGCAAGCGAAGCUCUUGAUCGAAGCCCCGGUAAACGGCGGCCGUAACUAUAACGGUCCUAAGGUAGCGAAAUUCCUUGUCGGGUAAGUUCCGACCUGCACGAAUGGCGUAAUGAUGGCCAGGCUGUCUCCACCCGAGACUCAGUGAAAUUGAACUCGCUGUGAAGAUGCAGUGUACCCGCGGCAAGACGGAAAGACCCCGUGAACCUUUACUAUAGCUUGACACUGAACAUUGAGCCUUGAUGUGUAGGAUAGGUGGGAGGCUUUGAAGUGUGGACGCCAGUCUGCAUGGAGCCGACCUUGAAAUACCACCCUUUAAUGUUUGAUGUUCUAACGUUGACCCGUAAUCCGGGUUGCGGACAGUGUCUGGUGGGUAGUUUGACUGGGGCGGUCUCCUCCUAAAGAGUAACGGAGGAGCACGAAGGUUGGCUAAUCCUGGUCGGACAUCAGGAGGUUAGUGCAAUGGCAUAAGCCAGCUUGACUGCGAGCGUGACGGCGCGAGCAGGUGCGAAAGCAGGUCAUAGUGAUCCGGUGGUUCUGAAUGGAAGGGCCAUCGCUCAACGGAUAAAAGGUACUCCGGGGAUAACAGGCUGAUACCGCCCAAGAGUUCAUAUCGACGGCGGUGUUUGGCACCUCGAUGUCGGCUCAUCACAUCCUGGGGCUGAAGUAGGUCCCAAGGGUAUGGCUGUUCGCCAUUUAAAGUGGUACGCGAGCUGGGUUUAGAACGUCGUGAGACAGUUCGGUCCCUAUCUGCCGUGGGCGCUGGAGAACUGAGGGGGGCUGCUCCUAGUACGAGAGGACCGGAGUGGACGCAUCACUGGUGUUCGGGUUGUCAUGCCAAUGGCACUGCCCGGUAGCUAAAUGCGGAAGAGAUAAGUGCUGAAAGCAUCUAAGCACGAAACUUGCCCCGAGAUGAGUUCUCCCUGACUCCUUGAGAGUCCUGAAGGAACGUUGAAGACGACGACGUUGAUAGGCCGGGUGUGUAAGCGCAGCGAUGCGUUGAGCUAACCGGUACUAAUGAACCGUGAGGCUUAACCUUACAACGCCGAAGCUGUU
Molecule: ribosomal RNA, 2720 nt
Filed under: Escherichia coli
Lineage: Bacteria; Pseudomonadati; Pseudomonadota; Gammaproteobacteria; Enterobacterales; Enterobacteriaceae
Description: bacterial LSU rRNA
Rfam family: Bacterial large subunit ribosomal RNA
Source: RNAcentral